RNAcentral lists this ribosomal RNA (465 nucleotides) under Vreelandella stevensii. RNAcentral's name for it is "partial 16S ribosomal RNA". It matches the Rfam family "Bacterial small subunit ribosomal RNA", at positions 338 to 795 of the family's 1533-position model. The record is from RNAcentral. Lineage: Bacteria; Pseudomonadati; Pseudomonadota; Gammaproteobacteria; Oceanospirillales; Halomonadaceae.
CUUACGGGAGGCAGCAGUGGGGAAUAUUGGACAAUGGAGGGAACCCUGAUCCAGCCAUGCCGCGUGUGUGAAGAAGGCCCUCGGGUUGUAAAGCACUUUCAGUGAGGAAGAACGCCUGGUGGUUAAUACCCAUCAGGAAAGACAUCACUCACAGAAGAAGCACCGGCUAACUCCGUGCCAGCAGCCGCGGUAAUACGGAGGGUGCGAGCGUUAAUCGGAAUUACUGGGCGUAAAGCGCGCGUAGGUGGCUUGAUAAGCCGGUUGUGAAAGCCCCGGGCUCAACCUGGGAACGGCAUCCGGAACUGUCAAGCUAGAGUGCAGGAGAGGAAGGUAGAAUUCCCGGUGUAGCGGUGAAAUGCGUAGAGAUCGGGAGGAAUACCAGUGGCGAAGGCGGCCUUCUGGACUGACACUGACACUGAGGUGCGAAAGCGUGGGUAGCAAACAGGAUUAGAUACCCUAGUAGUC